Molecule: ribosomal RNA, 244 nt
Filed under: uncultured bacterium
Lineage: Bacteria
Description: partial 16S ribosomal RNA
Rfam family: Bacterial small subunit ribosomal RNA
Source: RNAcentral
GAGGAUGCGAGCGUUAUCCGGAUUUAUUGGGUUUAAAGGGUGCGUAGGCGGGCUGUUAAGUCAGCGGUAAAAGCCCGGGGCUCAACCCCGGCGAGCCGUUGAAACUGGCGGUCUUGAGUUGGCGAGAGGUAUGCGGAAUGCGCAGUGUAGCGGUGAAAUGCAUAGAUAUUGCGCAGAACUCCGAUUGCGAAGGCAGCGUACUGGCGCCAUACUGACGCUGAGGCACGAAAGCGUGGGUAUCGAA